Macrobrachium nipponense is the source of this 279-nucleotide long non-coding RNA. RefSeq lists it as uncharacterized. The transcript is spliced from 3 exons. The record is from RefSeq and is a predicted model, not a curated record. Lineage: Eukaryota; Metazoa; Arthropoda; Malacostraca; Decapoda; Palaemonidae.
UGUUGGACGUUGCUUUCCUAUUUCGAUGGCGCUUAUCAACGGAUACUGGCGGCGUCGUUGAUAAGGUUCCAGGAUCCUAUAAAUGGAAGGUUUCAACUUCAUUUUGGUCAAAGUAAUAAUUCUGCAAACUUCACUUCGCCGGACUAUAUCCGUUUUGCUGGGAUGAAGAGAGAGAAUAGUCUUAACAUCAAACAGCGUUCAGAGCAGCAUGACAGACAACAGUUGAUUGAUAUAACCAAAGAUAUUGAACGGAUUAGCUAGUAUUUAUCGUCAGUAGUG